AUGGAGCAACCGGCGUACUGCCUCUGCCUCUUCUUGGCUCUCCUCCUCCCUCUCCUGCUCCUCCUCAAGCUGUAUAGGAGGAAUCAUGGCGCCCGCUAUGGCGGCGUGUGUCUGCCGCCCGGCCCGUGGCAGCUGCCGGUCAUCGGUAGCUUGCACCACCUGGCCGGAAACCCUCUCGCGCACCGGGUCAUGGCCGACCUCGCGCGCCGGCUUGACGCGCCGCUCAUGUACCUCAAGCUCGGCGAGGUCCCCGUCGUCGUGGCCACGUCCCGGGAGGCCGCUCGCGAGAUCAUGCGGACGCACGACGCCGUCUUCGCGUCGCGGCCGUGGAGCUCCACCUUCAAGUCCUAUGAGAUGGACGGGCAAGGGCUGAUAUUCGCGCGGUACGGCGCCCUGUGGCGGCAGCUCCGCAAGAUUUGUGUCAUGCAGCUGCUCAGCCCGCGACGCGUCCAGUCUUUCCGCCGCAUCAGGGAGGAGGAGGUCGCACGGCUCGUGGCCGCCGUCGCAGCCACGCCGCCCGGCGAGCUCGUGAACGUCAGCCAGCGGAUCGCUGUGCUCAUCACUGACUCCGCGAUACGCGCCAUGAUAGGUGACAGGUUCAAGAAACGUGAGGAGUUUUUGCAGGCCAUCGACGAGGCGGUCAAGCUCUUCUCUGGGUUCUUCAACCUUGGCGACCUAUUCCCCUCGUCGAGGCUCGCGAGCUUCAUCGGUGGCACGGCGCGGCUUGCCCAGGAGAACAGCCGCAAGUGUUCGGAGCUCAUGGAGUACGUGAUCAACCAGCACGAGGAUCAGAGUUCCGUGGAGGAACAAGAGGACCUAGUGGACGUGCUCUUGAGGAUACGGAAGGAAGGUGGCCUCGAGGUGCCUCUCACCAUGGGAACCAUUAAAACCGUUAUCUUCGAUCUGUUUGGUGCUGGGAGCGAGACCUCAGCGACAACACUCCAAUGGGCAAUGUCAGAGCUAAUGAGGCACCCAAACGUGAUGCGAAAAGCACAGGCCGAAGUGCGCAGUAAUUGCCAAGGAAAGCACAAGUUAACCGAGGAUGACUUGGCUGAUCUCAAGUACCUCCAACUCAUCAUCAAGGAGACACUGAGGUUGCAUCCAGCUGCACCAUUGCUUAUCCCCAGGGAGGCUUCGGAGCCUUGCAAAAUCCUUGGGUACGACGUACCUAAGGGCAUUAUGGUGUUGGUGAAUGCGUGGGCAAUUGGCAGAGACCGUAAGCACUGGGAAGACCCUGAUGAGUUCAAGCCAGAGAGGUUUGAGUCUGGCAUGGUUGAUUUCAAAGGAUCAAACUUUGAGUACAUACCAUUUGGGGCGGGACGAAGGAUGUGCCCUGGAAUGAUAUUUGCACAAGCGAGCAUGGAGAUCGUGCUUGCCACUCUCCUCUACCACUUCGACUGGGAGCUCCCUGCUGGAGAUAAGCCAGGGAACAUGGACAUGAAUGAGGAGAUGGGCAUCACAGUUUGA
This 1467-nucleotide ribosomal RNA is filed under the name Triticum aestivum (bread wheat). RNAcentral's name for it is "partial small subunit ribosomal RNA". Lineage: Eukaryota; Viridiplantae; Streptophyta; Magnoliopsida; Poales; Poaceae. The record is from RNAcentral.